Long non-coding RNA from Pungitius pungitius (ninespine stickleback), 4043 nucleotides. RefSeq lists it as uncharacterized. The transcript is spliced from 5 exons. The record is from RefSeq and is a predicted model, not a curated record. Lineage: Eukaryota; Metazoa; Chordata; Actinopteri; Perciformes; Gasterosteidae.
UUCCCCAAAAACCUCACCGUAGUGCCGCCUACCGCUCCCAUGGCGUUCCCAGCCUGUGCCGGGCUGGGCCUGCUCUGAUUUAUGAGGCAGUCCUGUGUCAUACUCUCAACCUGAAAAGGAUUUCUUCUCUUAUGUGUACCAGGGUGGUCAGUGGCAGCUCUCCCUGGAAAGACAGAAAAAGGCCCGUCUCCGGGGGCCUCAAUCCCAGAAAGUCUUCUCACCCCUCUGUGCCAACAACCAGGACAUUUUGGACAUUACCAGAAUCAGAGUGUUUCAAUAGUGGUGUGUUUCAGCAGUGCAGAGGUCAGAGUCCAUGCACCCGCGCCUACACAGCCUCACCGCCAUAAUUUGCUCUCAGGUCAGGCCGAGGGCCCAGCAGGCUCCCAGCGCAGGUCACGGAGGGCCUCCACAUCCCAGAGAGGAGAUUCCAGACUGGCAUGAAGAAGAGUGUUUGAUGUGGCCCUGAGCUGGAGCUAUGUUACCGCGUUGCUAUGCCUUUAAUUAGCUCCAGCAGCUGCUACUUCCUGGUUGACGGGCCCUGGCAAACCGCAGUGUCUCAGUAAUCCCUCACAGGUGACAGUCGGUCGCACGUCAGCUCCUUGUGUGGUGACAGGCUGUGUGUUCUCCUUUGAGUCAGGUAUCGGAGCUUUAGUGUCUGUUUUCGGAGGAUGCAAUCAUGAUUAAGAGACUGCAAAGUUCUCUUGGUGACAGUAAAAGUGCCACUCUGCAUUGUUUAUCUGGAUUUCCAGCCCGCACAAAGACAUCUUAAACCACGGGAAAUUACCCUCUGAGGACCGACGGCUUGAAAUUGAUCUCAGAGCAGACGAGCGCACCUUGCUCCCUGCUCCCCUUUGUCACACCCAGGAUCAGUUAUGGUUCCCAUGUGCAACACAUGUGACAAGAAGAAGAUGUCCUGCGAAAUGGAGCAGAAUCUGACAUGAAAGACUCAUCCCUGCCUGUAAGAUAAGUACUUUGAGAACUACAUGCCAGAGCCGCGAGGGAAUGAGCUCACAGAUGUAACAUGUUUAAACCUACUGAUGCAAUGACAGCUUUACAUUCAAUGCAUAAAAAGGACAUGUGAGUCAUGUUCAUUUUAUAUUCGAUGAACGUUAUUUGAUAAACUGUACAUAGCUCAUGACAUCUCACCGGAUUCUUUAUUUAGAGACACAGCCAUUAAAUUAAUUAGCGUGGAAAUGUCUCAUUUUACAGUAUGUCAGUAAUUGUGCCCUAUUUGUGCGUGUCCCGGAAUGUGUGCGCACGUCGUAGUUGUCUUUUUGUUUGACCGCGCCUCCAUGUGCCCCCCCCGUGCCAAUGCCAGUGUGUGCCCAUAUGCAGGGGGUACGAGCGCUCCACUGUUACUCUGUGCCUGUGUGUGCGCCCAUGUGUGUUGUGUGCAGCCUAUUAGUGGAGUUUAACCCCUGUGUUCGGGGAGUCACAUCCCCUCAACCCACCGGGCUCCAUUCUUACUGCAGCACGUUAACAUUUUAUUCUCUUCCCCCACCUCCCCCUCCCCCCUUCACUUUUGUCCUAAGAGGGCAAUUAAGGAAACAAACGUUUUCCCCAAGAUAAGCUUGCUGCCAGCUUUGCAUACUAAUGCCAUGCCAAGUGGUUACAAAUAGUGAGUGCUCUAAUUACUGCCACUGUUUUCAAUCAGAAAUUGCUCAAUUUCCCAGGAUGAGGUCUCCAUGGCUGGAGAAAAAAAACAGAAGCAAAACCUGACAGAGGCAAGAGACAAUCAUCUCUAUGUGGAUUGUGUCUGAUUUUGUCUGUGUGUGUGUGUGUGUGUGCCCGCAUGUGUGCACGCCUGUUGGUGCAAAUAAACUCAUCUGUUUCUCUCUGUGUGUGUAGACGCCGACACAACCCCUUCUAUCGCUGCUGCCCUUGACAAGUCAAGAAACGGAUCCCGACAGCCUCUACAGCAUUUAGCACCACAAUUAUCCCCUUUUCACGGCCCGGCUGCAUUAAUGUAAACCACACCAGGCAGUAGUUGCUACUCAGUGAUGAGCACAAUGUGGCGCAUCAUCUCUGAGUGAGCAAUUUGGUUUCAAUUGUGCUGCUGUGUGAUCAUCGGCGCAAAUCACGGCCUGCUCAUUUAUUAAGCAAUUUCUGUUGGAGAAAAUUAGAAGGGAGGACUCAUAAUUGGGCAGGAGAUAGUAAUAUCUCUAAAAGCAACAAUAAUGGAUGAUGUGGCCGACAUCAAACAAAAGAAGCAAGCGAGUUAAGCCCACCGGGGAGGUGUGUAGCAUUCGGAAUGGAAUAGCCACCGUUUGGCGUUGGGUGUCCAUCAGGAGUAUGUGUGUGUGUGUGUGUGUGUGGGGGGGGGUGGGGUGUGCAGCACAGACCUAGAGUGACAGGGACUCACUCCCUGGGUGUGAGAAUGAGUCACUCCGUAGGACGCACGCGGGAUCCAUCCGUUGGCCUUAGCUGACCUUUUCGCUCUGACGGUGGCUAAUGGAGGGCUGGCCCCCGGAUCAAUGCGCCGAGAGAUUGGGCUCGUCCUCGCCCUUUUAACCGGGCCAGGGAAGGGCCGGCUGCUGCCAAGAAGCCACGCCGCGAAGCCAUCGACCCCGCCGCUCUCCCAUCCUGUGGGUGGCAGCUGCGGUGCCAAUGGAGCCCGGGGGAAGCCACGCAGGAAGGACAGCCGGCAUCGCUGUAUCUGCGGCGUCGGGGGGGGAGUCACCGAUAAUCUGCUCGUGAAUGUCAGAUCUAUACGUAAACAACCCCAGCAAACACUUUGGUGUGGAGUAGAUGAUGAUGUUGAUGUAAACUUGCACGGCAAGAUUUGAAAGUAUUCCUCCCUUAAGGGAUGUUUUUAUUUCCAUUAUAUCCAAUUUAUACUUUUUUAAUAUGCGGCUCAUAAAGGGUGUAAAAGUGAAAAAUGUUUUAAACCAGCAAAUGCAAGAUUCAAAUUGUCAACAGAUUCCACCUGCUUGAUUUGAUAGAAGUUGAGCAGAGGUGAUUACAUCUGCAUAAUAUCGCUUCAGCAAAAGCUAAAAAAUGUUUUGUCAGUAUAAGAAUUGAUCAAAUAAAGCCUGACUCCAAGUGUUAGAAGUUGCUUGCAUUACUUUUGCACUUCAAAUGUUACCGUCGGGAAUAGCUUCUUUUUUUUUCUCCUGAAAGUUGGUGAAGCGCUUUAACACCCAGAUGGUGCACCACUGUAUACCUUUAAUCUGCUAUUUUCUGUCAAUAAACAAUGCACAAAACAAUAUUUACUGUGAAUUUUAAUUGCAAAUACUUCAAUUCAAAGAUGUAAAAAUAUUCAAAACAAUAGCAGGAUCAUACAUCCAGUCCAUAUGGAGAGAGAGGAGGAGACAACCAAGAGGUUUAGCACCGAUUGUUCUUUUUAUUAUCAUUAACAGUAAUGUGAUUCUGAAGCCUCCCGUGACCUCCUCACAGCAGCAUCUCAUCUCAGAAGUCAUUCAUUAGAACAAACAGAAGGCUGGCAGAAAGACUGCGAGAAAGAGACAUGGGGAGAGAGCAUAGUGUAAAAUAAAUUAAAUCGUGUUUAUUAGAUGAACCACUUUGAGACGGCGGAAGAAAGCAUGCUUCAGAAAUUCAAAGGAUUUAUUGUUGUAACGCGUUUGGAGACGGAGCCCGCGAUCCAGUUGUUGGUCUUGCGCAAUGUGUAAUCGCAGUUACACUUACUGUCCAUUUUGGGUUGCAAGGUCCACGGGGAGUCUUGAGACAUGCGUCUGAGCAGUGCAUGUUUGGAUUGAGAUACAGCGUUUCUGUUCAAGACCAUAGGCCGCUGCAGACUGUGUAGUGAAACUAAUCAGAAAGCUUCUUAUGUCUUCUUCCACUGAUAUGGCUGGAUUGUACAGUUCCCACAUGCUUUUGGCCCGGCGUUUACUGAAUUUCUCUUUAAAUUAAGUCCCCUCGUUUCCAUCUCGGUAAGAGCUUUUCUCUCUGCACACCCCCCCCCCGACACCUCUUAUCGUACCGGUCCGGUAAAGAUCGACCUCUAUAUAUGUCAGUGUGUCAAUGCAUACAUAUGUGAGGAUAAAACGGGAUACGGAGCGGUCAGAGGCUCUGUUGGGCCAGGG